RNAcentral lists this transfer-messenger RNA (374 nucleotides) under Arundinibacter roseus. Its description in RNAcentral is "Standard tmRNA". It matches the Rfam family "transfer-messenger RNA". Rfam says of the family: Bacterial tmRNA, also known as 10Sa RNA or SsrA, is named for its dual tRNA and mRNA-like properties. Lineage: Bacteria; Pseudomonadati; Bacteroidota; Cytophagia; Cytophagales; Spirosomataceae. The record is from Rfam by way of RNAcentral.
GGGGGCGACUGGUAUUGACAGCGGGUUGGGAUUCUGUGUGUAAGCAUGUCGGGAGUUGAGGGUACCUCCCGUUAAUCAAUGCCUUUCAAACAAUAACUGGCGAAUCUAACUACGCCAUGGCUGCCUAAUCCGGAGGAUUUAGCAAAUGCCAUCAUCCCUCCACCCUACGUGCUGCCGGGUGGAUCAAGGGGUGUCGAAACGCAGCGCUGGUUGGAAUAGUGGUACGAAAACCCAACGAGACACUAGUACCUAAGGCCAAGACGCGGGUCCGCCCUGAACCUAGUCUGGCUCGAAAAUCUAAUCGGGGAUAAGCAUGUAGAAGGCACAGGGUUUCCCUGUUCUGGACGAGGGUUCGAAUCCCUCCGUCUCCACAA